AAUUCUGUGACGUUGCAAGAUUUUCUGAUUAGUUGGACACCAUCAUUAUUUUCAUUUUUUGCUUGUGCUGUUGUCACAAGCAUAAGAUGAACGAAAAUGGAGUACACAAUAACAAAAAGAGGUACGUGGAACCUAACCUGACUCGCCAUUCAAUUCUUUCUUCUCAAUCAAUUGCAAAAACCUUAUUGUAACUUAAUUUGUUCCUCCUAUACAUAUGUCACUAUAUUAACCACUCGAUUUGCACGACAUUGAUUUUCUAAUAUUUGACAAUUAAUAGUUGCCUUCAAAGUAGGUAUGCGAAAACAGAAAAUGUUCUGUCUAAAUUAAUAUAUGAAUGGGUUUUACCAUAUAAGGUGGAUUUUUCACGUUAAAUUGUAAUUAUUAAAGUUGGCAAGCAAUUUAAUUACUAUAAUUUAUUGUCAUUGUUAUUAAAUUGGAAUUAUUUAUAGUCUAAAAAUUAUUCUAAAGAGUCAUAUAAAAAAUAAGGUUAUUUGAUACCUCAAAUUACUAUUUAGAGAAAAAUAAUUUUAUUUAAAAAUAAUCAUUAUUAUUUUAUUCUCUUUGAAUGACGGUAAUCAUCUUCGUUUGUCUCUCUAAUGUUUGGAGUUUUUUCUUCGUUCUUUUUCUUGUGUCGGUUUGACCGAUUAUCCCUUAAUAAUUGUUUGUACUCUUUAGUGUGUGAUGAUUCAUAUUAUGCAGCCCCUCUUAUAUUAUAAUUAUGGAAAAAAAAAAAAAAAGGCCCCACUUACGUUAUAUCUCUUGUUAAUUCGGAUAUAUUUGCAGCUGUUCUUAUUUUUUAUUCCAGAAGUUCUGCAUUCUUGGUAAAUUAUAAGGUAAAUUAAUUGAAGAUAGGAUUUUUUUUACCAUAAAAACUUACCGACUUUAUUAAGUUUAACCCAAUUACAGUGCCCUUUGAAGUGAAAGAAUUUGAGAUAAAAUUUAGAUUCACAAUUAGUAUUAAUUGUUUUUCUUUUUUAGUAUACCUAAUAUCUGACUUAGACAUCAAAAUAUUAAUUGGUAAGUGAUAUCUUAGUGUAGUAAUUAAACACCGAGUUGAUUUAUUGUUCACAUGUAAAACUAAAUAACUGUCAUUCUUUUAUUACUAUAGAUGUACAUGCAAUUCUAUCAAAUAUAGAUCUUCUUUUAAGUCGAUCGAUAUUUAUAUAAAUUACACAUACAUAACUGUUUAUAUUACAAAAUAAAUUUAUUUCUACACAAGUGGUCACUUUGGUGACACCUUGCUUUAGUUAUUUCAUCUCAAGAUAUAUACAUAUAGUUUUCGAAUUUUAAAAAAUAAAAUGGUCAAAAUUAACAGUGAAUAGUCAAUGGUGGAAGGGGUCAGGGCUAGCCCGAGACAGGUUAUUCCUAAACCAAUAUGGGCCGAAGACCAUUUUCUGAGUUGGUCCAGUGUUGUCCUUAUGGCCUAAAGGCCAUUACCUCUUGCGUAGCUUUGGGCCGAAGCCCAGAGCAACCCUAAUACAAUGUGUUCAGAUUUUUUGUUCUCUCUUUCCUUAGUGGCAAUCUUUUUUUUCCUUAGAGGCAGCCAUAUAGUUGGGUUUUUAUUAUUAUUAUUAUUAUUAUUUAAUGCGAUGGCCAUAGCCAUGGGUACCGCUUUCAUCAUAAAUUCCUGAUGUAUAUUUUAACCCUAGAAGACACCCACCAAUUUAUUCUCAAACUAAUAACAUUAGAAUUAUUAAAUUUGAGAACACUAAAUAUCUAAUUAUUGAUUGAAAAUAAAUUCAAUGCUCAAUGAUUCAACAUGAACAUGGACUAAUAUCAUUAGUUAGAAAAAUAACAUUUGGUGAAAACUAUCACCUAACAUCCCAAGAACAUUCAUGUUGACCACCAAGAAUCAAUAAUCAAAUACGUGGAAAUGUACCUGAAUCCAUAAUGAGCAAUUGCUUCCUAGAGUCGUGCGGUUUAUCUUUUGAAUCAAUAUGUUUUCUUAGUGAAUCCUUUUACUUUAUCUCUGCUCUUUCUCUCUCUAAUGACAGAAUGUCAGAAAAGAAUGGAAUGAAAUGUGUGACCCGAGGACCAUAACCCCUUAUAUAGACAACUUUCCCUGCUAUCUUCGGGUAUUCCUAUUUUAAUCCAUCAUAAAAACAGAAAUUACCUUCAAAUCUCUACAUAUUAAAGGUUCGUAUCCUAUCAAAUACAUUAAAAGCCAAAUCACUGAAAAUCUAAAAAGCUUAUUUUAAUUGGGGUUAAUCUUAUACGAUAGUUCGUAAUACAUAAUUAUACACGUAUAAGUCUAACAUUGAAUUAAGGAUCCAAUAGCUAAAACCUUAUUGCAACAAUAAAUGACUUAAUAAUAUGGUAUGUGAUAAAGAUUUUCUAAUAUUUGACAGUCAACAGUUGUCUAUCAGGUAGGUAUCAGAAAACCAAAACUAACGUGAAAGUAUUAUGGGUUCUAUUUGGCUUAAAGACAAAACUCAUCAGAAAAAAUGAUUUUGGAUGUUAACAACAACAACAACAAUAAUAUUUUAUUUUAUUUUGCAUUUUGUUCUACAAUCUAAUCUAGCAUGAACGAUCUGUGUAACGAAAAUUUGUUGUUUAGAAUUAGAGAAUUAAGAGUCAAAUGUAUAAACAACAUAUAUAUAUAUAUAUAUAUAUAUAGUCACACAUUAAAUACAAGAACACAUUAUUAACUUAUAUAGUUUCAAUUGAACACUGAUUCUAUUAAACAAUAUGGCUUAAUAGGUUUCCGUAUAAAAAAAAAAGGAUGACACCUGCAUAUAUAUAUAUAUAUAUAUAUGUGUGUGUGUGUGUGGAGAACUUUGACUUUUUAUUUCCACUCAAUAGAUAUCACCAACUAAACAAAUCAGCUGUAUUUAGCAAUAAUAUUGAGGCUUUGUUUGAAUAGAAAAAAACACCUUUCAUAAUUAAUCACUACCGUAUCUGCCAUAUAAUUCACAUUCAUUAAUUAAAUAAACUGGAUUCACCAUAUUCCAAAAUUAGUAGUUUAGAAUCUACCUAAGAAAUAAAUAUUUGGUAAAGAUAUUAAUGCAAGACUCUUUCACCCAUGAUAAACAGAAAUAGAGUUCACAGCGAAAGCAAAAUAGAAUCCAUAGAAAGCCAUCAUACACAUCAUCAAGUACAAAGUAGAUAUGAAUAUCUUCUUCUUCAAGUUUGCUUUCGUAGUUGCACUGCUGGCUUUUGCAGGUAACCUGAUUUUUUCACUACUUAAUAUUUGUGUAAAUUGUCUCUGUUCGCAGCUAUGUUUGCCGUAGAUUAAAUGCCCUUUGCGUCUACGGUCAUUCAAGUUCUAAUAACUAAUUAUAAGAGGUAGAGGUUGAUGUUCAGUGAGUAAGGUUAAUCAUCCCAUCCAAAGCAUUUUGUAAAAAAAAAAAAAAAAUGCAAAUAUUUCUCCAAAUAAAUAUUGGUGGGUGUAGUGUGUGCAAAUUAAAAAAAAAAAAAAAUCAUGGUAUGACUAUUUUGUAUUGAAACUCUCUCUCUCUCUCUCUGUGUGUGUCUAUAUAUAUAUAUAUGUGUGUGUGUAUUAUUUUCAAUUGUAUCCUGAAUAAUAUAUCAAAUAUAUAUUAUACAGAGAUAGCUAGCAUACUUUAAAAGGUAAGUUUGAAGUUAAUUAAUUGAUAGUUGAUCGAUGCAUGCAGGUCAGCAGUAUGGAGCAGAUGCAAGGUUUGGUGUAAGGCGGUGCAAUACAACCGCGGAUUGUGUUCCACCCUGUAUAUGUGAUGGUUAUUUCUGUAAUUGUCAUGUACAACAAGAACCCGUCAAUAUUGGGCAAAUGAUAAUGGAUAAUCGCCAUUCAUGAUUUAAUUUGUAAUAUACAGGAUAAUAGGAGUGCAUGCAUGCCUAUAUUUGCAGAGAUGCAUUUACAUGUAUGUGUGUAUAACUUCUGAAGUUCUGUACUUCUAUGAUGAAUAAUUGUUCAAGUAAUAAAACAAUAUUCAAGUUGCAUCUUUCUU
Molecule: long non-coding RNA, 3929 nt
Filed under: Citrus maxima (pomelo)
Lineage: Eukaryota; Viridiplantae; Streptophyta; Magnoliopsida; Sapindales; Rutaceae
Description: long non-coding RNA (CMAX_LNC000965)
Source: RNAcentral